ACGGCGCACGGGUGCGUAACACGUGGGCAAUCUGCCCUUCGAUGGGGAAUAACUCCGGGAAACCGAAGCUAAUUCCGCAUAGCAUUCCUUGGACUUCGGUUCGAGGACUCAAAGCCGUAAGGCGUCGAAGGAGGAGCCCGCGCACGAUUAGCUAGUUGGUAGGGUAACGGCCUGCCAAGGCUUUGAUCGUUAGCUGGUCUGAGAGGAUGGCCAGCCACACUGGAACUGAGACACGGUCCAGACUCCUACGGGAGGCAGCAGUGGGGAAUCUUGCACAAUGGGCGAAAGCCUGAUGCAGCGACGCCGCGUGGGGGAUGAAGCAUUUCGGUGUGUAAACCCCUUUCGACCCGGACGAAUACCUCGCAAGAGGGGUGACGGUACGGGUAUAAGAAGCCCCGGCUAACUACGUGCCAGCAGCCGCGGUAAGACGUAGGGGGCCAGCGUUGUUCGGAAUUACUGGGUGUAAAGGGUUCGUAGGCGGUGUGGCAAGUUGGGAGUGAAAUCUCUGGGCUCAACCCAGAGGCUGCUUCCAAAACUGCCGUGCUUGAGUGUGGGAGAGGCGCGUGGAAUUGCAGGUGUAGCGGUGAAAUGCGUAGAUAUCUGCAGGAACACCCGUGGCGAAAGCGGCGCGCUGGACCACAACUGACGCUGAGGAACGAAAGCUAGGGGAGCAAACAGGAUUAGAUACCCUGGUAGUCCUAGCCCUAAACGAUCAGGACUUGGGGUGCCGCACGUUCGUGCGUCGUCCCGGAGCUAACGCGUUAAGUCCUGCACCUGGGGAGUACGGUCGCAAGACUGAAACUCAAAGGAAUUGACGGGGGCCCGCACAAGCGGUGGAGCAUGUGGUUCAAUUCGACGCUACGCGAGGAACCUUACCUGGGCUCGAAGCGCACCUGACUAGCUGUAGAAAUACGGCCUUCUCGCAAGAGACAGGUGUGGAGGCGCUGCAUGGCUGUCGUCAGCUCGUGCCGUGAGGUGUUGGGUUAAGUCCCGCAACGAGCGCAACCCCUGCACGUAGUUGCCACUCCGCAAGGAGGGAACU
Molecule: ribosomal RNA, 1042 nt
Filed under: uncultured bacterium
Lineage: Bacteria
Description: bacterial SSU rRNA
Rfam family: Bacterial small subunit ribosomal RNA
Source: RNAcentral